GACGUAGGGCGCGAGCGUUGUCCGGAUUUAUUGGGCGUAAAGAGCUCGUAGGCGGCUUGUUGCGUCAGCUGUGAAAACCCGCAGCUCAACUGUGGGCUUGCAGCUGAUACGGGCAGGCUUGAGUUCGGUAGGGGAGACUGGAAUUCCUGGUGUAGCGGUGAAAUGCGCAGAUAUCAGGAGGAACACCGGUGGCGAAGGCGGGUCUCUGGGCCUGUACUGACGCUGAGGAACGAAAGCGUGGGGAGCGAACAGG
This 253-nucleotide ribosomal RNA is filed under the name uncultured bacterium. RNAcentral's name for it is "partial 16S ribosomal RNA". It matches the Rfam family "Bacterial small subunit ribosomal RNA", at positions 524 to 776 of the family's 1533-position model. The record is from RNAcentral.